Molecule: ribosomal RNA, 234 nt
Filed under: uncultured bacterium
Lineage: Bacteria
Description: partial 16S ribosomal RNA
Rfam family: Bacterial small subunit ribosomal RNA
Source: RNAcentral
UGAGGAACAUGACCUUCGGCGGGGGAUAGCCGGCCCAACGGCCGGGUAAUACCGCGUACGACCACUUUGGGACAUCCCUAGGUGGUGAAAGCAGCAAUGCGCCGAUGGAGUGCCUCGCGGCCUAUCAGCUAGUUGGUGAGGUAACGGCUCACCAAGGCGACGACGGGUAGCUGGUCUGAGAGGAUGGCCAGCCACAUUGGGACUGAGAUACGGCCCAGACUCCUACGGGAGCAG